AACGCACAUUGCGCCCCGGGCCUCGGCCUUGGGCAUGUCUGCCUCAGUGUCCCGCACAUCUGCACCCUCCCUCUCCCCCCUCCCGGGGAGCGACGGGGGCGCGAUCUGGCCGUCUCGGAACGCCUCGGCGAGCCGCGUCGGCCGAAGCGGAGCGCGAUCCGGGCUGCGCCUCUGCGGCCGCCUUCGGAGCUUUGACGGUGACCCCUUUCGGUCUUCUGGAGCAGCUUCGCGGGCGGUCCGCGUUCGAGCGCGCGGUCCCGGCUCGGCCAAUGCCAGGAAUCCCCUUUCACAUUGGACCUGAGCUCAGGCAAGACUACCCGCUGAACUUAA
Molecule: unclassified non-coding RNA, 330 nt
Filed under: uncultured fungus
Lineage: Eukaryota; Fungi
Description: partial contains 5.8S ribosomal RNA, internal transcribed spacer 2, and large subunit ribosomal RNA
Source: RNAcentral